ACCUGGGUGGCUCAGUUGGUUGAGUGUCUGACUUUGGCUCAGGUCAUGAUCUUGUGGUUUGUGGGUUUGAGCCCCACAUUGGGCU
RNAcentral lists this transfer RNA (85 nucleotides) under Felis catus (domestic cat). It matches the Rfam family "tRNA". Rfam says of the family: Transfer RNA (tRNA) molecules are approximately 80 nucleotides in length. RNAcentral also lists the same sequence under 2 other names. Lineage: Eukaryota; Metazoa; Chordata; Mammalia; Carnivora; Felidae. The record is from Rfam by way of RNAcentral.